CCAUCAUGGGGAAUGAGGUUGGGGGGUCACAGCCUCACGUGCCCUCACCCGUCCAGGCUGCCAGGCCUGCAGGGCACUCCCUAGGCUGAGUCAGGGUGACGGGAGAUAUGCCUGAGGGCACCCUCCCCUCUCAUGUGCCUGUGCCCGCCUCCCUGAGACCCACCAGAAAUGCCCCCUUUACAUUCUCAAUCCCUGGGGCAGAACUGUCACGCAGAGAAACCCGUCUGACCAGCAUUUGUGUGAGAGAGACCUUCAGGACACUCGAACAGAGACCCCCGGGACCGAGGCUAUUAGGUGCUGCAGGAUCCCUGACGGUUUCUGGGUCAGGGUUAACAACCUGUGGCCAUACCAAGCCACCACCCUGAAGGCAGUCAAUGGUCAUGUGUGUGGAUCGGAUGGCUUCCUCACGAGUUUGCAAUUUGAGGAGGCAAUUGUUCAGAGGCUGGUGUAUGGAUGCCUAGUGAUCUCAGCAUAGCCCUGGAAUCCUUCAUGGUGUGCAGAACCUCAUUCGUCUUUGCUGCAAAUAAUUUCUCAUCAUCGAAGGGGAGAUCCUCCACGGUGUUCUGUAUCUCACGUGGGAAAGACGAAGAGUUGAACCAUGAAGCCCAAUGCAUAACAACAGCUGUAGCGGUGGACCUGGCUGCGGUGUCCGCAGCAUGAAGGGCAGCCUGGAGUAACGUGCGGGAAAUUAUUUGUCCUUCAGAGACCACUGCCUUAAAUUGCGGUCUCUUUUCUUCUGGAAUAGUUAAUAAAUUCCAUUAAUUGCCCGUAAUUUCUAUGGUCAUAUUUGGCUAGGAGGGUGGCAAACUAUGCCACACCAAAUUGCAGUGUGGAAGUUGCAUAAACCUUGCAGCCAAAUAAAUCCAUUCUUUCACUGUCCCUGUCAGGAGUAGUAGACCGGAAAUGCUGCUGCUUGUUUCUUUGGUUUGCCGCUUCCACUACCAGUGAGUUUGGUGCUGGAUGUGUGAAAAGAAAUGCUGAGCCCUUGGAGGGAACAUAGUAUUGCUGAUCUGCCCUCUUGCAGGUCGGGGGUAUAGUGGCUGGAGUUUGCCAGAUAUUCUUGGCCGGGUCCAUGACAGCUCCAUUGAUUGGGAGGGCAAUCUUGGAGGAGGCCGCAGGUUGCAAGAUGUCUGUCACUUCAUGUUGAGUCUCUGACACCUCCUCCAUAGUGAUCUUGAGUUCACUAGCCACCCUUUUAAAUAGGUCUUAAGAAGGGGUAAAAGAAAAUAAAACUUGUCUGACUAAAAUACUAUACUAACUGUACUAACAAAUGAAGUAUGCGAAAGCUAAAAAAUGUUGAGCAGGACUGCUGAGCUCCAUCUCAGGCCGGGGCAGUAGAGAAGGAACUGAGGAGUCACGGCCAUGCAAGUGCUGUUAAGGCACCAGCAGCGCGUGCACAGCCCGUGCGGGUACUGCUGUACAAAUCUGAGCGAAGAUGUGGGGACGCACCAGCACCUGGGAGUGGAGCACCCACAGAGACAUCUCUCGAAGAAGAAUCCAGGAUUCAUGACUUUUGACUAAAGUUGGUUGAGAAUUUUCUGUCUGAAUGAUUUUCUGUCAGAAAAAUGCAGUUUCUGCAAACUUUUGAUGAAAUAUUUUGAUUUUUCUUUUGGGCAAAUUAAAAAUAAAUAUUUUGUUUUGUGGCAAUUUGAACCAAAUCAGAAUAUUUUGUUCUCUGAAACUGACCCAAAAGGUUUAGUUUCUAAUCUAUUUUCCUAUAAGCACAUUGCCUUAUGGGAGUUGUAGUUAAGGCCCUCAUUCUCUAACCAAGCUGCUUGGUGCAUCAUGGGAGAUGUAGUCCAGCCAGGGAGCCUGACCCUUAGGGAGAAUCAGAAUCUUGAACUAUACUCCAUAGGCAUCGACUCCGUGGGUGCUCCAGGGCAUGCUUGCGGUUCGGGGUGGAAUUAGGUGGGAGGA
Long non-coding RNA from Chrysemys picta bellii (western painted turtle), 1917 nucleotides. RefSeq lists it as uncharacterized. Lineage: Eukaryota; Metazoa; Chordata; Testudines; Emydidae. The record is from RefSeq and is a predicted model, not a curated record.